Electrophorus electricus (electric eel) is the source of this 430-nucleotide long non-coding RNA. RefSeq lists it as uncharacterized. The record is from RefSeq and is a predicted model, not a curated record. Lineage: Eukaryota; Metazoa; Chordata; Actinopteri; Gymnotiformes; Gymnotidae.
UACAGUAUUUUGAAGCCGCGGGAAGAGAAAGGGGGGUGAGGCAAGCAGGAAUUACAGUCCGGCGGCGCAGGGGAGACUAAUAUAGGCGUGCAGGGCUGAGCUUGAGAUCCAACGUUCCCUCAUUAAAACAACGUCCCCCACUUAAAUGAUCCCCCAGUGACUUCACAUGGCACAAAAAGCUGUUGGGUUUAGCCUUGGUAUGCCUGAUAGCAAGCGUCUGUAUUAAAUUUCCCUUGACCUCUCUGUGUGAGGAGACUCCUGCAGAAGGACACGCUGGGAUGUGGUAAUUCGAACAUGGGCUACACCCGCUGCCAACUGUUGUGUCUGACUGACUCAUCCGCUGAGAGAUUGUUCUGCCGUGAUGCGAGUCUAGGUCGCAGACACUUCUCUCCAGUUGGCCCUCCCUACUAAUAAAGCCUGUUUCCAUCUA